UGGGGAAUUUUGGACAAUGGGCGCAAGCCUGAUCCAGCCAUGCCGCGUGCGGGAAGAAGGCCUUCGGGUUGUAAACCGCUUUUGUCAGGGAAGAAAUCUUCUGAGUUAAUACCUCGGGAGGAUGACGGUACCUGAAGGAUAAGCACCGGCUAACUACGUGCCAGCAGCCGCGGUAAUACGUAGGGUGCAAGCGUUAAUCGGAAUUACUGGGCGUAAAGCGUGCGCAGGCGGUUUUGUAAGACAGAGGUGAAAUCCCCGGGCUCAACCUGGGAACUGCCUUUGUGACUGCAGGGCUUGAGUGCGGCAGAGGGGGAUGGAAUUCCGCGUGUAGCAGUGAAAUGCGUAGAUAUGCGGAGGAACACCGAUGGCGAAGGCAAUCCCCCGGGCCUGCACUGACGCUCAUGCACGAAAGCGUGGGGAGCAAACAGGAUUAGAUACCCUGGCAGUCCACGCCCCUAAACGAUGUCAACUGGGUUGUUGGGGAAAGGUUUCCUUCUCAGUAACGUACUAACGCGUGAAGUUGACCGCCUGGGGAGUACGGCCGCAAGGUUGAAACUAAAUAAUUGACGGGGUCAUAGCUGUUUCCU
This 587-nucleotide ribosomal RNA is filed under the name uncultured bacterium. Its description in RNAcentral is "partial 16S ribosomal RNA". It matches the Rfam family "Bacterial small subunit ribosomal RNA", at positions 355 to 1375 of the family's 1533-position model. The record is from RNAcentral.